UGCCCUAGUAACGGCGAGUGAAGCGGCAACAGCUCAAAUUUGAAAUCUGGCGUCUUUGGCGUCCGAGUUGUAAUUUGCAGAGGGCGCUUUGGCAUUGGCAGCGGUCCAAGUUCCUUGGAACAGGACGUCACAGAGGGUGAGAAUCCCGUACGUGGUCGCUAGCCUUUACCGUGUAAAGCCCCUUCGACGAGUCGAGUUGUUUGGGAAUGCAGCUCUAAAUGGGAGGUAAAUUUCUUCUAAAGCUAAAUACUGGCCAGAGACCGAUAGCGCACAAGUAGAGUGAUCGAAAGAUGAAAAGCACUUUGGAAAGAGAGUUAAAAAGCACGUGAAAUUGUUGAAAGGGAAGCGCUUGCAGCCAGACUUGCCUGUAGUUGCUCAUCCGGGUUUUUACCCGGUGCACUCUUCUACGGGCAGGCCAGCAUCAGUUUGGGCGGUUGGAUAAAGGUCUCUGUCAUGUACCUCCUCUCGGGGAGAUCUUAUAGGGGAGACGACAUGCAACCAGCCUGGACUGAGGUCCGCGCAUCUGCUAGGAUGCUGGCGUAAUGGCUGUAAGCGGCCCGUCUUGAAACACGGACCAAGGAGUCUAACAUCUAUGCGAGUGUUUGGGUGUCAAGCCCGAACGCGUAAUGAAAGUGAACGGAGGUGGGAACCUUUCGGGGUGCACCAUCGACCGAUCCUGAUGUCUUCGGAUGGAUUUGAGUAAGAGCAUAGCUGUUGGGACCCGAAAGAUGGUGAACUAUGCUUGAAUAGGGUGAAGCCAGAGGAAACUCUGGUGGAGGCUCGCAGCGGUUCUGACGUGCAAAUCGAUCGUCAAAUUUGGGCAUAGGGGCGAAAGACUAAUCGA
This 844-nucleotide ribosomal RNA is filed under the name Epicoccum sp. E1-3. Its description in RNAcentral is "eukaryotic LSU rRNA". It matches the Rfam family "Eukaryotic large subunit ribosomal RNA", at positions 76 to 938 of the family's 3401-position model. Lineage: Eukaryota; Fungi; Ascomycota; Dothideomycetes; Pleosporales; Didymellaceae. The record is from RNAcentral.